Molecule: long non-coding RNA, 1684 nt
Filed under: Ailuropoda melanoleuca (giant panda)
Lineage: Eukaryota; Metazoa; Chordata; Mammalia; Carnivora; Ursidae
Description: lncRNA (ENSAMEG00000025589.1)
Source: RNAcentral
AUGAGAAGCGGCCAAGCAAGCCUCACGUGUAACAUAACAUAUAAAACGUAUACGCCUUAUAAGCAAGUCCUGAGAUGGGGAUGGGGAGGAGGGAAGUCUUUCGGGGGACCCUGGUGCGCUCAAGAGAAUUAUCAGUGUAGACGCCUGUCUCUCCUGAGGGAAGAGCCCCUAGGUUAUCAGAGAAGCAGGCUUUCAGGAAUGGGAAGAGCUUUUUGCCUCAUGGGACAGAAGGUGAGAUUUUCCUAUUGUCUUCAAUCUCUGUUGAUACCAAAGCAUAAGCCUUUUCUACAUACAUGUUUAGAACUGUAAACUGAAUCCCAUGAUGGAUAGCAAAGUACAUAGACUCCUUGAUUCUGACCAAGCCAGCAACAUGCACUUGAAUUUGAGUUGGAUUUAGAUGAGCAAUUCAAUGGUAGACUAGUAGUAGAAAGAAGAUUGUCGACUUAGGAGUCGAAUCACACUGUGAUUUUGGUGAGGAUUUUGCUCUCUCUGGGGCAGUUUGGUAUUUCAGUUGACUUAGCAAUUUGCAGAGUUUGCCCACUGUAGCACUUCACGUCUCCCCAAUUCAAUUUCCUCAUCUACACAAUGAAUACAACUUACUGUGCAGGUCUAUCAUAAGGACCAAAUAAAAUAUAUAUUUCAGAUGCUUACUAUACUGCCUCGCACAUAAUGCUGAGUGCUUAUUUCUUGUGAUUCAGUCCUUAUAUGGUUCUACUGUUAAAGGCCAGUCCUCAAUAAAGUAAUGUGGGGCUACAGUAACCUUCUGCCACCCUCUCCCUCUGCCAAAAAAUACACAGCUAACUAAGAAUAGUCCCCUAAUUUUGACAAUUUUAUUGUACCUUUCUUAAGGAACCACAUCACCUUCUACUUACUACAUAAUUUAUUGGACACUUACCAUGAACAAUGUGCUGUAAGCACUUUACAUGGGCAAUCUCAUUUCAUUUCCCCUAUAAUCCUAUAAGUUCAAUGCUAUGGUUCUUCUUCUUUUGCUUCAAACAUACUUGGUUCACCAAUAUGAAGAACCCCCACUAAGUAUUUUUUAAACAUGUUUUAUUAUUAUUGAAAAACAUUUAUACAAUGCCUUCUGAAUUGUUUUGUAAACUUUGUUCAAGCAGAGCACUAAGAUACAAUUUAUAAUUUCAAUCCUCCAUAAAGUGAGAUAUAUAUAUAUAUAUACAUAUUUUACCACCGAGAGGAAACAUAAUUUAAAGGGUCUACUAUCUCUCUCUUUUUUAAAUCAUAUGUGUGCUUCCUAUCUCUGAUUAAGUUUAAGACAUUAUCUUCAAUAAGAAUAGCCAAAACUCCUAUUAAUAUCUGUUUAAGAACUGCAGCCAAUAUCUUCAAAGUGCCAAAUGACAACACUGACAAGAUGGUAGAGGUCAGCCAUCUUGUUGAAAUGAAGAGCAAGAGAUCACUGUAGAAGAAUUCCCAUGGAAAUUACUCCACCCACAUUCAGCAUCUAAAAAAUAUUAUAGAUAUUCAUGCACACUGAAUUGACAAAUACAAAUGUUCUAUAAAAAUACCCCUAACUUUGAACAAUUUUGGAGGUUAGUAGAGCAAUGAAGAAUGCCUGCUUGAUACUGAGACAUUUACCAGGAAAAGAAGGGUUCCCUAGUUAAACAGACGUUACAUCUCUAUUUUCAAACCUCAGUCAAUUCAGUCCAUUUAGGAAAACUCCUAAAAU